GCCGUCCGAUAGCCUCAGCCGACGUGCCGCCAGGCCGUUGUCACAGGCACCCGAGCUGUCCGGCGCGGACCGCA
Molecule: transfer RNA, 74 nt
Filed under: Streptomyces sp. PVA_94-07
Lineage: Bacteria; Bacillati; Actinomycetota; Actinomycetes; Kitasatosporales; Streptomycetaceae
Source: RNAcentral